CCCGCGGCAAGACGGAAAGACCCCGUGAACCUUUACUAUAGCUUGACACUGAACAUUGAGCCUUGAUGUGUAGGAUAGGUGGGAGGCUUUGAAGCGUGGACGCCAGUCUGCGUGGAGCCGACCUUGAAAUACCACCCUUUAAUGUUUGAUGUUCUAACGUGGACCCGUAAUCCGGGUUGCGGACAGUGUCUGGUGGGUAGUUUGACUGGGGCGGUCUCCUCCUAAAGAGUAACGGAGGAGCACGAAGGUUGGCUAAUCCUGGUCGGACAUCAGGAGGUUAGUGCAAUGGCAUAAGCCAGCUUGACUGCGAGCGUGACGGCGCGAGCAGGUGCGAAAGCAGGUCAUAGUGAUCCGGUGGUUCUGAAUGGAAGGGCCAUCGCUCAACGGAUAAAAGGUACUCCGGGGAUAACAGGCUGAUACCGCCCAAGAGUUCAUAUCGACGGCGGUGUUUGGCACCUCGAUGUCGGCUCAUCACAUCCUGGGGCUGAAGUAGGUCCCAAGGGUAUGGCUGUUCGCCAUUUAAAGUGGUACGCGAGCUGGGUUUAGAACGUCGUGAGACAGUUCGGUCCCUAUCUGCCGUGGGCGCUGGAGAACUGAGGGGGGCUGCUCCUAGUACGAGAGGACCGGAGUGGACGCAUCACUGGUGUUCGGGUUGUCAUGCCAAUGGCACUGCCCGGUAGCUAAAUGCGGAAGAGAUAAGUGCUGAAAGCAUCUAAGCACGAAACUUGCCCCGA
Molecule: ribosomal RNA, 734 nt
Filed under: Salmonella enterica subsp. enterica serovar Infantis
Lineage: Bacteria; Pseudomonadati; Pseudomonadota; Gammaproteobacteria; Enterobacterales; Enterobacteriaceae
Also listed under: 3 other names
Description: partial 23S ribosomal RNA
Rfam family: Bacterial large subunit ribosomal RNA
Source: RNAcentral